UUCGCACAACUAGCUCCGAGACUACAAACUUAUAAGCAGUAUUCCGAGAUCCGCAAGGUACUGAAGAGGAGAGGUUUUCUGGAGCGCUCUCUUGUUUGUAUACACUAUCUGAAUUUUGUCUUCACCCACUGUUGUUGUCCUAGCUCGAAACCGCUUGAUUUAAAGACCAGUUAAAAGAUGCAAGCAUCUCAGGUACCACACUCAGAAGCUGAACCUCUCUGAAUUUAGCUAAGAACAUGGCCAAUGCGGAAAUAUGCCUUGCAUGACUUCAUAUGUGAUGGGUGUCAUAUUUCUUGCCUUCUCAAUGUAUGGAGGAGGGGAAGAAGG
Molecule: long non-coding RNA, 327 nt
Organism: Phascolarctos cinereus (koala)
Lineage: Eukaryota; Metazoa; Chordata; Mammalia; Diprotodontia; Phascolarctidae
Source: RefSeq, a predicted model, not a curated record